CUCUCUCUCUCUCUCUCUCUCUCUCUCUCUCUCUCUCUCGAUUUCAUGGAGUUAUAGGUUUUAGGUGGUUGUUUUGGGGUAGACCCUAAGGAGAAGAGGCAACUCGUACGAACAUCUUUGGUUGCUGGGUUAACAUUUUUGGCGAGGGAAGAUGAUGCCGUCACUCCACAACCCGUUGCGCCUCUGCCCAAAACCUAUUCGUUGCCUAUUGAAACGGAAGAUGAAUGGAGGAAACGAAAGGAGUUAUAGUGUCUGAGGAGGAUGGAGGCAAAGAGGAAGAGAUCAGAGUAACAGAGGAAUUUUAGGGCUGGUAGAGAUCGAGCCUCUUUGGAGGGAAGUGUGGAGGAAGAGAAGCGGAUGGAAGACGAUACUGCUCUUAACGCCAUGAACUUUAAAGGGAAGGUCGAGGGCGCUUCUGCUACUGCUUUGGCCAAAGAACAACAGCAAUUUAGGGUUGCAAAUAGAUUGUCUGCAACGGUGGGGCAACAGUUUGGGGUUCCCCAGUUGGGCUGCAUCUCCAAGAGGUGCUGCUCUUCCUCAUGGGUUUGAUGCCACAGCCAACGAGAAAGGUAGUAUCUUAGCUUCAGCUGCUGCUGCUUUGAGAGGGUAUCCAGGGCCGACGUCACAGGGAUCGAUAGGAUCACAGGGAAGUAGUUCUUCUGGGAUUUCAGAGUUCGAGAGCAGACAGGUUCAAGGUAGUUGUGUGCACCUGGUUUUAGAUUCUGGACUUGACUUGCUUUAUCUGAGUUAUAAAUGGAGAGCUGGAAGCUUUGUAUGCAGCAGGCCAAGGUUGUUCCUAAACUGAGGCCUCAGAGAUUAGACUCUUUGUUUGCAAACAUGAAGGAAUAGAGGAUGAAGACAUCAUCUCAUCAGAUGAGAAGGGGUUGAUUUCAGCAACAACAGCAGAAAAGGGAUCGAUUUAACAGUUAUUCCCACUAACUAGACCUAUGUUGAUCAUUGUGCAAGGAGAUGUGAGAUCAUAUGGGUAUUAAAAAUUGUACCCCAGCCAACCAUGUGGUGGAAAGUAGUGGAUUUAUCUCUAGCACCCAAGUCUCUGAUUAUCAGCAGGAAACAGUCCAUUCUUUGUUUUGCUUCCUUCAGUACUUUUCUCUUCAUUAACCUGACUAUCUCCAAUAUGGAAACUUGUAGAUAUUUUCUUUCAAUUUUUUGAUCUGAGAUUUGGAUUAGUUUGUUCUCAUCUUGUUUGUAUUGGGAUGGUUGUUAAAUUCAUUGGUGACCAUUUAACAGCUAAUUUACAUUUUAUAUUUUGUGAUUUCA
Long non-coding RNA from Macadamia integrifolia, 1278 nucleotides. RefSeq lists it as uncharacterized. Lineage: Eukaryota; Viridiplantae; Streptophyta; Magnoliopsida; Proteales; Proteaceae. The transcript is spliced from 3 exons. The record is from RefSeq and is a predicted model, not a curated record.